Non-coding RNA from Durio zibethinus, 1832 nucleotides. Lineage: Eukaryota; Viridiplantae; Streptophyta; Magnoliopsida; Malvales; Malvaceae. The record is from RefSeq and is a predicted model, not a curated record.
AACAAUUAGUCUUAGGUGGUGGAUGAAAAUUAGUUUAGGAUUUAUAAUUUCCGUGUUGCUACCAAGAUGGAUCAAUGCAUACAUGAAGAAACAAGGAAUCGGGUGAAAGUUGGUUUAUGCAUUUCUUAGUGUACUCCUAAUUAACAGACUUAGUUCACUGACUAAUCAUAUGCCAAGUCAUUAUGGCCACAACCUCCUCCUAUAUUGGUUAUUUCAAAUUUCUCGCAUGUAUUUUUGAUUUUAUAUAUUUUGGGUUAGCUUUCAAGUUUUCCUUACUUUACUUUGCUUUCCUAUAGGGUCACUUGGGGAAGCUACCUUUAAUUAUCAUAAAUCCUAUUUCAUCCAUAUGCUCUUCUUGUUGUUCACCGUUUUCUUAGAGUAAGUGGAGUUUAAAUGGUGGUUUCCAUUCUCUUAUUGUAGAAAUGGAAAUAAUAUAAAAUCUUCAUUGAUAUUUUCUAAAGAGGUUUAUGACAAGUUGCAUGUGAUGGCUGAUGGAAGUCAGAAGAAGUACGGGUCUUUGCAUCAAACGUGGAUGGAUGGAAGAUAUCAAACAAGGCAAGGUUUUGGAAAACUUCCUACGCCGCCCUUCCCUCAAUCAUCUAGAGUCUGCAAUUUCUGUUCUUCUACCAGUGCUCCAAGAAUCAUCCCUUAAACCUCCUCCUUGUUACUUUGGCUCUCCAUCCCAUUGGACCUUUCUGUAUUGCACCCUUCAGUGAGGAAGAGUAUUGAUAUUAAGAGCACAUAUUUCAUUGAAGUGAUUUUCAAUGGCUGGUUCUGGCGUUGAUCAAAAUUUUGUGGAGUAUUUACUAUCUGUAGGACUUAAUCCAGAUAAGUAUAGCAUAAAUAAAUAUGACAGUGCAGAAGCAAUGGUCAUUUAUAGUACUUUGAUUACGCAAGCUCAUCCGAUCUUCCCAAAUGUUCUUCCGCCGUUCCAAUACAAUAAUGAUCAUUAUUUACUCGUUGAAAAGUUAGGGACAUCAUUAACAAAAAUGAGGAAACAAAUUGCCCUUUUUGAUCGUCCAAAGGUUAAAAACAAGCAUAUUUUCUUUCGGGCAUCAGAUACGUAUGCUAAAAUUUUAAGGGAUAUCUUUAAAUCGAUUGGAGCUCUCCUAAAUACAUCAAUUCGAGGUGUAUUGAACACUGGCAAUAUUUAUAUAAUGCCCGGAAAUCGUGAGGCAUGAUUUACGAAAUUUAUUAUUCGAGGCAAUAAUAGUUAUUUUGAAGAUUGCUUAGAUUUUAAAAAUAUGCUAGCAGAUUUUAAUGGAAAGUGUGGAAUUCGUGAUGUUGCAAAAUUUGAAUUUGAUGAUUUCUUUAGUUUGUUGAUGAAUCCUACUCCAUCAAUACCGCGUCAUAGUAUGGAUGUGUUGGAGCAUCCCAUAUUUUGGCCAGAGCAACUUAGAAUUGCUUUUAUUAAAGCUUUAGAUGAUUUUCUGGUGGCCAAUCAAGCUAUCAACACUAAUAUCCAAGCUUUUGAUGGAGGAAUAAACAUGUUGAAUGGGAAUAUUGCUGUUCAUGAAUUGUUACAAUUUCAUAAGCGGUACAUUGUAAAUAACCAAAUUCGAAGCUUGUUCUUACAAUAUUUACCUAACAAUUUUCAGAAUGUACCUAAUUCAGAUAUGACGAGAUUAUGCAUCGAAACUUUGAAAAAUCUAUAUACACAUUUCUUAACUAUGAAACAACCUUAUAUACAGCUCCAAAAUGAUGAAGAUCUUCAGCAUGCUGUUCAAGAGGUUUUUCCGAUGCAUCUUUGCAUAUUAAUUCCGUUUGCACGACAGAUAAACUUUCCAUAUCAAAUUGGAGAAAUUUUAAAUUAUUUGUAUUCUUAAAUGUAG